UACGUAGGGCGCAAGCGUUGUCCGGAAUUAUUGGGCGUAAAGAGCUCGUAGGCGGUUUGUCGCGUCUGCUGUGAAAACCUGAGGCUCAACCUCGGGCUUGCAGUGGGUACGGGCAGACUAGAGUGCGGUAGGGGUGACUGGAAUUCCUGGUGUAGCGGUGGAAUGCGCAGAUAUCAGGAAGAACACCCGUGGCGAAGGCGGCUCUCUGGGACGGUACUGACGCUGAGACGCGAAAGCGUGGGGAGCGAACAGG
This 253-nucleotide ribosomal RNA is filed under the name uncultured bacterium. RNAcentral's name for it is "partial 16S ribosomal RNA". It matches the Rfam family "Bacterial small subunit ribosomal RNA", at positions 524 to 776 of the family's 1533-position model. The record is from RNAcentral.